Bradysia coprophila is the source of this 349-nucleotide long non-coding RNA. RefSeq lists it as uncharacterized. The record is from RefSeq and is a predicted model, not a curated record. Lineage: Eukaryota; Metazoa; Arthropoda; Insecta; Diptera; Sciaridae.
UCAGUUUAUAACUAAGCUUCACAACGACAUUCACUUCGAAUAAUAUUGAAACGUUGAUACAAUUUAACUACUACCUAUCUAUAUCAGCACUGAAAAUGAAGGCUACUUUUAUCGUCAUUCUUCUAGCAACUCUGGUUGCAAUGGCCGUACUUCCUACAGAGACAACUGCAGAUUGCACUACAGGUGAAGUAGCUGCCUGUGGUUUUAAAUGUGGUCUACAAAGUUGUAAAUCUUCCAAGUGUAACUCUAGCUCUGAUUGCUCUUGCAGCGGUUGCCCAUAACUGCAGAGGUCUAAUUUCAUUGAAUGAGAGCGGUUUGUCAGAGUCAAUUUUUUUUUUAAAUAAUAUUG